GACGAACGCUGGCGGCGUGCUUAACACAUGCAAGUCGAACGAUGAAGAAAAGAGUCGAAGCUUUGGCAGAAAUUCAUUUCGGAUUAGUGGCAGACGGGUGAGUAACGCGUGAGCAACCUACCUCUUACGAAGGGAUAGCCUCGGGAAACCGGGAUUAAUACCAUAUAACAUUGUGACGAAGCAUCUCGAUGCAAUCAAAGCUACGGCGGUAAGAGAUGUGCUCGCGUCCCAUUAACCGGAUGGUGAGGUAACGGCUCACCAUAGUGACGAUGGGUAACCGGGCAGAGAGGGUGAACGGUCACACUGGAAGUGAGACACGGUCCAGACUCCUACGGGAGGCAGGAGAGGGGGAUAUUGCAAAACGGAGGGAACUAUGAUGCAGCGACGCCGGGUGAGUGAUGAAGGAAUUCGUUUCGUAAAGCUCUGUUCUAUGGGAAGAAAAGGACUGUACCAUAGGAGAAAGCUCCGGCUAACUACGUG
Molecule: ribosomal RNA, 480 nt
Filed under: uncultured bacterium
Lineage: Bacteria
Description: partial 16S ribosomal RNA
Rfam family: Bacterial small subunit ribosomal RNA
Source: RNAcentral